Molecule: long non-coding RNA, 685 nt
Organism: Anopheles funestus (African malaria mosquito)
Lineage: Eukaryota; Metazoa; Arthropoda; Insecta; Diptera; Culicidae
Exons: 5
Source: RefSeq, a predicted model, not a curated record
UUGAGUUUGUUUUGCUGCCCACGAUGGAUGAAGAUCGCUAUUUUUUGCUUUGAACUUGUCUGGAGCUUGAGUUGAAGAGCUUCCACCAUCGCCUUCAGCAUCAAACAGAACUUUCUUUCCAGUGAAAGGUUUAAUUCCUUUUUGAGCUUGUUUGGCUGCCCAAGAUGGAUGAAGAUCACCAUUUUUAGCUUUGAACUUGUUUGCAGCUUGAGUUGAAGAGCUUCCACCAUCGCCUUCAGCAUCAAACAGAACUUUCUUUCCAGCGAAAGGUUUAAUUCCAUUUUGAGCUUGUUUUGCUGCCCACGAUGGAUGAAGAUCACCAUUUUUAGCUUUGAACUUGUCUGGAGCUUGCUGGUUAUAAGUUGAAGAGCUUCCACCAUCGCCUUCAGCAUCAAACAGAACUUUCUUGCCAGCAAAAGGUUUAAUUCCUUUUUGAGCUUGUUUUGCUGCCCACGAUGGAUGAAGAUCGCCAUUUUUUGUAUUGAACUUGUCCGGAGCUUGCUGGGUAUAAGUUGAAGAGCUUCCACCAUCGCCUUCAGCGUCAAACAGAACUUUCUUGCCAGCAAAAGGUUUAAUUCCUUUUUGAGCUUGUUUUGCUGCCCACGAUGGAUGAAGAUCUCCAUUUUGAGUUUUAAACUUUCCUGUAGCUUGCUGGUUAUAAGUUGUAGAGCUUCCACCAUCGCCU